UGGGGAAUAUUGCACAAUGGGCGGAAGCCUGAUGCAGCAACGCCGCGUGCGGGAUGACGGCCUUCGGGUUGUAAACCGCUUUCGCCUGUGACGAAGCGUGAGUGACGGUAAUGGGUAAAGAAGCACCGGCUAACUACGUGCCAGCAGCCGCGGUGAUACGUAGGGUGCGAGCGUUGUCCGGAUUUAUUGGGCGUAAAGGGCUCGUAGGUGGUUGAUCGCGUCGGAAGUGUAAUCUUGGGGCUUAACCCUGAGCGUGCGUUCGAUACGGGUUGACUUGAGGAAGGUAGGGGAGAAUGGAAUUCCUGGUGGAGCGGUGGAAUGCGCAGAUAUCAGGAGGAACACCAGUGGCGAAGGCGGUUCUCUGGGCCUUUCCUGACGCUGAGGAGCGAAAGCGUGGGGAGCGAACA
RNAcentral lists this ribosomal RNA (407 nucleotides) under uncultured bacterium. RNAcentral's name for it is "partial 16S ribosomal RNA". It matches the Rfam family "Bacterial small subunit ribosomal RNA", at positions 355 to 774 of the family's 1533-position model. The record is from RNAcentral.